Molecule: unclassified non-coding RNA, 728 nt
Filed under: Homo sapiens (human)
Lineage: Eukaryota; Metazoa; Chordata; Mammalia; Primates; Hominidae
Description: MUC20 overlapping transcript (ENSG00000280993.2)
Source: RNAcentral
AACCUUUGCUGUCUUGGGACGGAUCACCACUGCAAGAGGGGAAGUUGCUACUGUGAUGAAUUCUGCCAUGUGGCACCAGACUGCCACCCAGACCACAGUGUCCUCUGCAACCCUGGUAACUCACAUACAGGCCCGAUUCCACCGACAGCAAAGCUGGAUGCUAUGGCUGGCAGAGGCAAACCCUUUGCCUGCACUUCAGGCCAAAGCCGGGAUGUGGCCUAGAUGGUUCCUAAGGUCCCUGACAAUCCUGAGAUCUUGCAUCUUGUCUAUUUCAGGUCAAAGCUUCUCAGAUGACCAAGAUGGUGCUGCAGAUGGUGCUGAGGAUGGAGAACCCACCAAGCCCCGCUAGGAGCCACCUAGACUGGAUGCAGAGCAUGGCCCCAGCACCCGCAGAGCAGACACUGCGAUGACAACGGACGACACAGAAGUGCCCGCUAUGACUCUAGCACCGGGCCACGCCGCUCUGGAAACUCAAACGCUGAGCGCUGAGACCUCUUCUAGGGCCUCAACCCCAGCCGGCCCCAUUCCAGAAGCAGAGACCAGGGGAGCCAAGAGAAUUUCCCCUGCAAGAGAGACCAGGAGUUUCACAAAAACAUCUCCCAACUUCAUGGUGCUGAUCGCCACCUCCGUGGAGACAUCAGCCGCCAGUGGCAGCCCCGAGGGAGCUGGAAUGACCACAGUUCAGACCAUCACAGGCAGUGAUCCCGAGGAAGCCAUCUUUGACACCC